GGUUAAGCGACUAAGCGUACACGGUGGAUGCCCUGGCAGUCAGAGGCGAUGAAGGACGUGCUAAUCUGCGAUAAGCGUCGGUAAGGUGAUAUGAACCGUUAUAACCGGCGAUUUCCGAAUGGGGAAACCCAGUGUGUUUCGACACACUAUCAUUAACUGAAUCCAUAGGUUAAUGAGGCGAACCGGGGGAACUGAAACAUCUAAGUACCCCGAGGAAAAGAAAUCAACCGAGAUUCCCCCAGUAGCGGCGAGCGAACGGGGAGGAGCCCAGAGCCUGAAUCAGUGUGUGUGUUAGUGGAAGCGUCUGGAAAGGCGCGCGAUACAGGGUGACAGCCCCGUACACAAAAAUGCACAUAUUGUGAGCUCGAUGAGUAGGGCGGGACACGUGGUAUCCUGUCUGAAUAUGGGGGGACCAUCCUCCAAGGCUAAAUACUCCUGACUGACCGAUAGUGAACCAGUACCGUGAGGGAAAGGCGAAAAGAAC
Molecule: ribosomal RNA, 484 nt
Filed under: Escherichia coli
Lineage: Bacteria; Pseudomonadati; Pseudomonadota; Gammaproteobacteria; Enterobacterales; Enterobacteriaceae
Also listed under: 1 other name
Description: partial 23S ribosomal RNA
Rfam family: Bacterial large subunit ribosomal RNA
Source: RNAcentral